GAACCUGCGGAAGGAUCAUUAAUGAAACGUAAAGGGCGAGGUUGUAGCUGGUCCCCGAGGGGGCGACGUGCACGCCUCGUUCUCUUCUCUCUCACCCCUGUGCACCUCUGCGUUGGGUCCCGUGCCCACACGUCUUUUUCAUAAAACACACAUGUACUAGAACGUCGCACCUUUUUGUUAUUAUACAACUUUCAACAACGGAUCUCUUGGCUCUCGCAUCGAUGAAGAACGCAGCGAAAUGCGAUAAGUAAUGUGAAUUGCAGAAUUCAGUGAAUCAUCGAAUCUUUGAACGCACCUUGCGCCCCUUGGUAUUCCGAAGGGCACACCUGUUUGAGUAUCGUGAAAUCAUCAACCCUUUUGCUUCGUGUGAAGGGGCUUGGACUUUGGAGGUCUUUGCUGGUCCCCGGGAUCGGCUCCUCUUGAAUGCAUUUAGGUUCCUGCUGUCAGCCCGCCCUUCGGUGUGAUAAUUCAUCCGCAUCGAUCGAGUGUUUGUGAACCAGAGGGACGUUCUCUUUUUGAUCUCAAAUCAGGUGGGACUACCCGCUGAACUUAAGCAUAUCAAUAAGGCCGG
This 571-nucleotide ribosomal RNA is filed under the name Leucogaster citrinus. RNAcentral's name for it is "eukaryotic LSU rRNA". The stretch from base 187 to 340 matches the Rfam family "5.8S ribosomal RNA". Lineage: Eukaryota; Fungi; Basidiomycota; Agaricomycetes; Boletales; Leucogastraceae. The record is from RNAcentral.